GACAGAGGGUGCAAACGUUGUUCGGAAUUACUGGGCGUAAAGCGCGUGUAGGCGGCCCUGCAAGUCGGGUGUGAAAUCCCACGGCUCAACCGUGGAAGUGCACUCGAAACUGCAGGGCUAGAGUCCUGGAGAGGAAGGUGGAAUGCUUGGUGUAGAGGUGAAAUUCGUAGAUAUCAAGCGGAACACCGGUGGCGAAGGCGGCCUUCUGGACAGUGACUGACGCUGAGACGCGAAAGCGUGGGGAGCAAACAGGG
RNAcentral lists this ribosomal RNA (254 nucleotides) under uncultured bacterium. RNAcentral's name for it is "partial 16S ribosomal RNA". It matches the Rfam family "Bacterial small subunit ribosomal RNA", at positions 524 to 777 of the family's 1533-position model. The record is from RNAcentral.